RNAcentral lists this ribosomal RNA (445 nucleotides) under Bacillus sp. F22M500. Its description in RNAcentral is "bacterial SSU rRNA". It matches the Rfam family "Bacterial small subunit ribosomal RNA", at positions 95 to 526 of the family's 1533-position model. RNAcentral also lists the same sequence under 1 other name. The record is from RNAcentral. Lineage: Bacteria; Bacillati; Bacillota; Bacilli; Caryophanales; Bacillaceae.
GCGGCGGACGGGUGAGUAACACGUGGGUAACCUGCCUGUAAGACCGGGAUAACUCCGGGAAACCGGUGCUAAUACCGGAUAGAUUAUCUUUCCGCCUGGAGAGAUAAGGAAAGAUGGCUAUUGCCAUCACUUACAGAUGGGCCCGCGGCGCAUUAGCUAGUUGGUGAGGUAACGGCUCACCAAGGCGACGAUGCGUAGCCGACCUGAGAGGGUGAUCGGCCACACUGGGACUGAGACACGGCCCAGACUCCUACGGGAGGCAGCAGUAGGGAAUCUUCCGCAAUGGACGAAAGUCUGACGGAGCAACGCCGCGUGAGUGAAGAAGGUCUUCGGAUCGUAAAGCUCUGUUGUUAGGGAAGAACAAGUAUCGGAGGAAAUGCCGGUACCUUGACGGUACCUGACGAGAAAGCCACGGCUAACUACGUGCCAGCAGCCGCGGUAAUAC